Molecule: ribosomal RNA, 253 nt
Filed under: uncultured bacterium
Lineage: Bacteria
Description: partial 16S ribosomal RNA
Rfam family: Bacterial small subunit ribosomal RNA
Source: RNAcentral
UACAGAGGGGGCAAGCGUUGUUCGGAAUUACUGGGCGUAAAGGGCGCGUAGGCGGCUUCGUAAGUCGGGUGUGAAAGCCCCGGGCUCAACCUGGGAACGGCACUCGAUACUGCGGAGCUCGAGUACGAGAGAGGGGGGUGGAAUUCCAGGUGUAGCGGUGAAAUGCGUAGAGAUCUGGAGGAACACCGGUGGCGAAGGCGGCCCCCUGGUUCGAUACUGACGCUGAGGUGCGAAAGCGUGGGGAGCAAACAGG